RNAcentral lists this ribosomal RNA (301 nucleotides) under uncultured bacterium. Its description in RNAcentral is "partial 16S ribosomal RNA". It matches the Rfam family "Bacterial small subunit ribosomal RNA", at positions 509 to 807 of the family's 1533-position model. The record is from RNAcentral.
CAGUCGCCGCGGUAAUACGGAGGGUGCAAGCGUUAUCCGGAUUUACUGGGUUUAAAGGGUGUGUAGGCGGACUUUUAAGUCUGGGGUGAAAUCUCCGAGCUCAACUCGGAAACUGCCUUGGAUACUAUUAGUCUUGAAUUAUGUUGAGGUUGGCGGAAUAUAACAUGUAGCGGUGAAAUGCAUAGAUAUGUUAUAGAACACCGAUUGCGAAGGCAGCUAACUAAGCAUAUAUUGACGCUGAGGCACGAAAGCGUGGGGAUCAAACAGGAUUAGAGACCCGAGUAGUCCCUGUCUCUUAUAC